RNAcentral lists this ribosomal RNA (253 nucleotides) under uncultured bacterium. RNAcentral describes it as "partial 16S ribosomal RNA". It matches the Rfam family "Bacterial small subunit ribosomal RNA", at positions 524 to 776 of the family's 1533-position model. The record is from RNAcentral.
UACAGAGGGUGCAAGCGUUAAUCGGAAUUACUGGGCGUAAAGCGUGCGUAGUCGGUUAUUUAAGUCGGGCGUGAAAGCCCCGGGCUCAACCUGGGAAUUGCGUUCGAUACUGGAUAGCUAGAGUUCGGCAGAGGGAAGCGGAAUUUCCGGUGUAGCGGUGAAAUGCGUAGAUAUCGGAAGGAACAUCAGUGGCGAAAGCGGCUUCCUGGACCAGUACCGACGUUCAGGCACGAAAGCGUGGGGAGCAAACAGG